AUGGCCACCGGAGGCACACCGGAGCUGGAGGAGGAGAUCGCCGUCUUCCCCGACUGGGUGAUGCUGGAUUGCAUGAGCCGCACCCACUGGUACGGUGACCUAGCCUCUGGCCGUGAGGCCGUCAGCAGGAACAAGACAGCUGUUGGACUCAACAUGGACAGCGGCCACUCCAUGACUCCCAUGUACGUGUCCUUCACCCUCGCGGCUCCUCCAAGUAACGAGUUGCAGGCGCUUGUUCCAUGCGUGUCGAGCUCUGUGUCUUCAUCUCCAAGUCAUGAAAGUGGACGUUCUUCCUCAAGAAUGCCCCACAGAGCAAUGGCGUGUGCUUCCCCAACCUCUGGUCAACCGAGCUCCGUGCUCGCAUUCGAGGGACGUUUUCUGUGCUGGGUCGACUACUUCAGCGGUGUCCUGCUAUUCGAUUUCUCCGGCACCUGCUCGCCGGUGCUACAUUUCGUGCCAUUCCUUUGA
Molecule: ribosomal RNA, 468 nt
Filed under: Triticum aestivum (bread wheat)
Lineage: Eukaryota; Viridiplantae; Streptophyta; Magnoliopsida; Poales; Poaceae
Description: partial small subunit ribosomal RNA
Source: RNAcentral